Sesamum indicum (sesame) is the source of this 201-nucleotide non-coding RNA. The record is from RefSeq and is a predicted model, not a curated record. Lineage: Eukaryota; Viridiplantae; Streptophyta; Magnoliopsida; Lamiales; Pedaliaceae.
ACUUGUUAGCGAUGCUGCUGCAUUACGACCAACUUUCUGGUAUUCUGCACUUUGAUGUAGGGGAUAUACCUCUGCCAGAAUUGCAAGAGUUGAGAACCCACAAACUAGCUUUCAGCUAUGCGGCAAACUCUGAACUGGAAACUCACAGUAUUAGGCUGCCAAAAGAAAGCACUGUGGGUGAUGUGCUUGAGCAUCUCAAGG